Molecule: ribosomal RNA, 1107 nt
Filed under: Niallia circulans
Lineage: Bacteria; Bacillati; Bacillota; Bacilli; Caryophanales; Bacillaceae
Description: bacterial SSU rRNA
Rfam family: Bacterial small subunit ribosomal RNA
Source: RNAcentral
AACACGUGGGCAACCUGCCUGUAAGACUGGGAUAACUUCGGGAAACCGGAGCUAAUACCGGAUAAUCCUUUUCCUCUCAUGAGGAAAAGCUGAAAGACGGCAUCUCGCUGUCACUUACAGAUGGGCCCGCGGCGCAUUAGCUAGUUGGUGAGGUAACGGCUCACCAAGGCAACGAUGCGUAGCCAACCUGAGAGGGUGAUCGGCCACACUGGGACUGAGACACGGCCCAAACUCCUACGGGAGGCAGCAGUAGGGAAUCUUCCGCAAUGGACGAAAGUCUGACGGAGCAACGCCGCGUGAGUGAUGAAGGUUUUCGGAUCGUAAAGCUCUGUUGUUAGGGAAGAACAAGUACAAGAGUAACUGCUUGUACCUUGACGGUACCUAACCAGAAAGCCACGGCUAACUACGUGCCAGCAGCCGCGGUAAUACGUAGGUGGCAAGCGUUGUCCGGAAUUAUUGGGCGUAAAGCGCGCGCAGGCGGUCCUUUAAGUCUGAUGUGAAAGCCCACGGCUCAACCGUGGAGGGUCAUUGGAAACUGGGGGACUUGAGUGCAGAAAAGAAAAGUGGAAUUCCACGUGUAGCGGUGAAAUGCGUAAAGAUGUGGAGGAACACCAGUGGCGAAGGCGACUCUUUGGUCUGUAACUGACGCUGAGGCGCGAAAGCGUGGGGAGCAAACAGGAUUAGAUACCCUGGUAGUCCACGCCGUAAACGAUGAGUGCUAAGUGUUAGAGGGUUUCCGCCCUUUAGUGCUGCAGCAAACGCAUUAAGCACUCCGCCUGGGGAGUACGGCCGCAAGGCUGAAACUCAAAGGAAUUGACGGGGGCCCGCACAAGCGGUGGAGCAUGUGGUUUAAUUCGAAGCAACGCGAAGAACCUUACCAGGUCUUGACAUCCUCUGACACUCCUAGAGAUAGGACGUUCCCCUUCGGGGGACAAAAUGACAGGUGGUGCAUGGUUGUCCUCAGCUCGUGUCCUGAAAUGUUGGGUUAAGUCCCGCAACGAGCGCAACCCUUGAUCUUAGUUGCCAGCAUUAAGUUGGGCACUCUAAGGUGACUGCCGGUGACAAACCGGAGGAAGGGGGGGAUGACGUCAAAUCAUCAUGCCCCUU